UACAGAGGUCCCGAACGUUGUUCGGAUUCAUUGGGCGUAAAGGGUGCGUAGGCGGCGCGGUAAGUCGGGUGUGAAAUCUCGGAGCUUAACUCCGAAACUGCAUUCGAUACUGCCGUGCUUGAGGACUGGAGAGGAGACUGGAAUUUACGGUGUAGCGGUGAAAUGCGUAGAUAUCGUAAGGAAGACCAGUGGCGAAGGCGGGUCUCUGGACAGUUCCUGACGCUGAGGCACGAAGGUCAGGGGAGCAAACGGG
RNAcentral lists this ribosomal RNA (253 nucleotides) under uncultured bacterium. RNAcentral's name for it is "partial 16S ribosomal RNA". It matches the Rfam family "Bacterial small subunit ribosomal RNA", at positions 524 to 776 of the family's 1533-position model. The record is from RNAcentral.